Molecule: ribosomal RNA, 253 nt
Filed under: uncultured bacterium
Lineage: Bacteria
Description: partial 16S ribosomal RNA
Rfam family: Bacterial small subunit ribosomal RNA
Source: RNAcentral
UACGGGGGGAGCAAGCGUUGUUCGGAUUUACUGGGCGUAAAGGGCUCGUAGGCGGUCCAUCGCGUCGGGAGUGAAAAGCUGGGGCUUAACCCCAGUCCUGCUUCCGAUACGGGUGGACUAGAGGUAGGUAGGGGAGAACGGAAUUCCCGGUGUAGCGGUGAAAUUCGUAGAUAUCGGGAGGAACACCAGAGGCGAAGGCGGCCACCUGGACAGAGAUUGACGCUGAGACGCGAAAGCGUGGGGAGCAAACAGG